This 478-nucleotide ribosomal RNA is filed under the name uncultured bacterium. RNAcentral describes it as "partial 16S ribosomal RNA". It matches the Rfam family "Bacterial small subunit ribosomal RNA", at positions 28 to 523 of the family's 1533-position model. The record is from RNAcentral.
AGCGAACGCUGGCGGCAGGCUUAACACAUGCAAGUCGAACGGUAAGGCCCUUCGGGGUACACGAGUGGCGAACGGGUGAGUAACACGUGGGUGAUCUGCCCUGCACUUCGGGAUAAGCCUGGGAAACUGGGUCUAAUACCGGAUAGGACCACUGCCUGCAUGGGAGGUGGUGGAAAGCUUUUGCGGUGUGGGAUGGGCCCGCGGCCUAUCAGCUUGUUGGUGGGGUGAUGGCCUACCAAGGCGACGACGGGUAGCCGGCCUGAGAGGGUGACCGGCCACACUGGGACUGAGAUACGGCCCAGACUCCUACGGGAGGCAGCAGUGGGGAAUAUUGCACAAUGGGCGCAAGCCUGAUGCAGCGACGCCGCGUGAGGAAUGACGGCCUUCGGGUUGUAAACCUCUUUCAGCACCGACGAAGCGCAAGUGACGGUAGGUGCAGAAGAAGGACCGGCCAACUACGUGCCAGCCGCCGCCGUAA